AGUGAACGCUGGCGGUAGGCCUAACACAUGCAAGUCGAACGGCAGCACAGUAAGAGCUUGCUCUUACGGGUGGCGAGUGGCGGACGGGUGAGGAAUACAUCGGAAUCUACUUUUUCGUGGGGGAUAACGUAGGGAAACUUACGCUAAUACCGCAUACGACCUACGGGUGAAAGCAGGGGAUCUUCGGACCUUGCGCGAUUGAAUGAGCCGAUGUCGGAUUAGCUAGUUGGCGGGGUAAAGGCCCACCAAGGCGACGAUCCGUAGCUGGUCUGAGAGGAUGAUCAGCCACACUGGAACUGUGACACGGUCCAGACUCCUACGGGAGGCAGCAGUGGGGAAUAUUGGACAAUGGGCGCAAGCCUGAUCCAGCCAUACCGCGUGGGUGAAGAAGGCCUUCGGGUUGUAAAGCCCUUUUGUUGGGAAAGAAAAGCAGCAGGUUAAUACCCCGCUGUUCUGACGGUACCCAAAGAGUAAGCACCGGCUAACUUCGUG
RNAcentral lists this ribosomal RNA (492 nucleotides) under uncultured bacterium. RNAcentral describes it as "partial 16S ribosomal RNA". It matches the Rfam family "Bacterial small subunit ribosomal RNA", at positions 29 to 507 of the family's 1533-position model. The record is from RNAcentral.